UCAGAAAGAAACACCAACUUAUAGGCUCUAAGGGGUUGACAAGGGAUAUCUUCCUUAUAUAUCUGGUGUUUGGAAAUUGAAACAAUGCCUUACAUCAUCAUCAAAGUUUUGUUUGAAAGCAUACUUGUCAACAAUUUUGGGUACUUUAUUUUCAUCAUUCUCCUUCUGAUCUUUGAUAAAACAACAGGUUGAUAAAGAAAGGUGAAUGGGAGAAAUAUUUUUUGUUUUUUGAUAUAAAUGACAAAUGAGUGAAUACGACAUGAUUGAUUCAUAAAAU
RNAcentral lists this long non-coding RNA (277 nucleotides) under Lathyrus oleraceus (garden pea). RNAcentral's name for it is "Pisum sativum (pea) long non-coding RNA (PSAT_LNC028761)". Lineage: Eukaryota; Viridiplantae; Streptophyta; Magnoliopsida; Fabales; Fabaceae. The record is from RNAcentral.